RNAcentral lists this ribosomal RNA (497 nucleotides) under uncultured bacterium. RNAcentral describes it as "partial 16S ribosomal RNA". It matches the Rfam family "Bacterial small subunit ribosomal RNA", at positions 28 to 507 of the family's 1533-position model. The record is from RNAcentral.
GAUGAACGCUGGCGGCGUGCCUAAUACAUGCAAGUCGAGCGAACAGAUAAGGAGCUUGCUCCUUUGAAGUUAGCGGCGGACGGGUGAGUAACACGUGGGUAACCUACCUAUAAGACUGGGAUAACUUCGGGAAACCGGAGCUAAUACCGGAUAACAUUUAGAACCGCAUGGUUCUAAAGUGAAAGAUGGUUUUGCUAUCACUUAUAGAUGGACCCGCGCCGUAUUAGCUAGUUGGUAAGGUAACGGCUUACCAAGGCGACGAUACGUAGCCGACCGGAGAGGGUGACCGGCCACACUGGAACUGAGACACGGUCCAGACCCCUACGGGAGGCAGCAGUAGGGAAUCUUCCGCAAUGGGCGAAAGCCGGACGGAGCAACGCCGCGUGAGUGAUGAAGGGUUUCGGUUCGUAAAACUCUGUUAUUAGGGAAGAACAAUUGUGUAAGUAACUGUGCACAUCUUGACGGUACCUAAUCAGAAAGCCACGGCUAACUACGUG